Phacochoerus africanus (Common warthog) is the source of this 540-nucleotide long non-coding RNA. RefSeq lists it as uncharacterized. The transcript has 3 exons. Lineage: Eukaryota; Metazoa; Chordata; Mammalia; Artiodactyla; Suidae. The record is from RefSeq and is a predicted model, not a curated record.
GCCUUUUGAGGAGACACGAGAAGAUGAUCUCUCUCCCUUUGCCAUGUGAAGAUACAGUGAGGAGGCAUCCGUCUGCAAGCCAGGAAAAGGGCCUUUACCAGGAGACAGCUGACCUUGGCAUUCCCAGCCUCCAGAAUGGUGAGAAUUUUUUUGCAGCAGCUCAAGCUAAGACAUUUAUUGUGAAGCAUUGUGGAGAUGAGAGUGUACCCUUGGAUGAUAUAUAAUUUAAGAAGCUGGGGUACAGAGGGCCUGGGCAGGGCCCUACGUGUAGCCAAUGGAAGGACCCAAGAUGCCUGGAUUUGGACCAGUGGAACCUGUUAAUAUCUGAUUCCCUGAGAGAAUGCUCCUGCAAAUCUAAUAGGCCAUGUUUCCAUCCACAUCUCAGUGUGACCAGAACAAGGACUCAAGAGAUGUUUGUGAACUGCGCAAAUGAUUGGACUUUACUCCUUUCCAUCCUGUCUUUUUUUUCCUCCUCUUUUCUUGAUGGUCCAAUUUUCAACUUUUUGGAAACAGCAAGUUAAACAGUAGCAAAAGCCAAAA